Molecule: non-coding RNA, 32 nt
Filed under: Homo sapiens (human)
Lineage: Eukaryota; Metazoa; Chordata; Mammalia; Primates; Hominidae
Source: RNAcentral
CCCUGCUACUGCAACAUAGGUGCUUGGAAAGG